GAUGAAGAACGCAGCGAAAUGCGAUAAGUAAUGUGAAUUGCAGAAUUCAGUGAAUCAUCGAAUCUUUGAACGCACAUUGCGCCCCUUGGUAUUCCGGGGGGCAUGCCUGUUCGAGCGUCAUUAUAACCCCUCAAGCUCAGCUUGGUGUUGGGGCCUGCCGACUGGCAGCCCUUAAAAUCAGUGGCGGCGCCAUCUGGCUCUAAGCGUAGUAAUUUCUCUCGCUAUAGAGUCCCGGUGGAUGCUUGCCAGCAACCCCCAACUUUCUAUGGUUGACCUCGGAUCAGGUAGGGAUACCCGCUGAACUUAAGCAUAUCAAUAGCGGAGGA
This 326-nucleotide unclassified non-coding RNA is filed under the name soil metagenome. RNAcentral describes it as "partial contains 5.8S ribosomal RNA, internal transcribed spacer 2, and large subunit ribosomal RNA". The stretch from base 1 to 120 matches the Rfam family "5.8S ribosomal RNA", at positions 35 to 154 of the family's 154-position model. The record is from RNAcentral.